Molecule: non-coding RNA, 3404 nt
Organism: Phalacrocorax carbo (great cormorant)
Lineage: Eukaryota; Metazoa; Chordata; Aves; Suliformes; Phalacrocoracidae
Source: RefSeq, a predicted model, not a curated record
UACAGAUGCGACUUGUAUGGAAAAUGGUCCUUUAGAAGGAUCUUUCUGCUCACUUUGUGAGGAUCUUUUUUGCUGUAAAGUCUUGGUCUGAAAAACACAAAUACCAUUUAUACAAACUAAAGCAUCGGUCACCUCUCACCGUACUAGCUACAUGUUAAUUAAAGGCGAUUACUAAACUAUAUUCUUUUAAUAUUCUGAUUAUUCUGUUAUUUAAAAAUAUAAAAUAUUUUGACAUUACUAUUUUUGAGUUCUGAUCUCUUGUAUGGUGAUCUAAGGAGGAAUAUUUCCACAGCAGGCAAAGGAGCGAGCGAUGCUUAUGAAAUGCAAUAUCAAUAACACCUGAAUGAAAUGGGAGCAUGUGGAGAUGAUUUGAUCUCUGUCACACAAGGCUAGUUCAGUGGAGACGUGUUGAAUGGAAGACCGGAAUCCUCUGCCUACAUCCUACCGUUGUCAUGAAAAGAGAAAAUAUGCAUUUUUUGUUAAAAAUAAAAGGAAUAACAGUUAAACAAAAAGACUAAGAAUGGACUCAAAAGCAAAGACCUUAUUCAGCAUCCUCAUAUGAUGGGGAAUCUUCAGAGAUUAAAUUCUUGCCCCACUGAGAUCUUCAGAAAGCUGAUCCAUUACCCUGGUGUGGCUUGGAUUUCACUAACUCUGUAGCAAGUUCCUCCACAAAUAUAUUUGUUGACUUAUGUGGGACGGCUGAGAAAAUAAAGGAACUAACUGUCAGGACUAAAUGUAUAUAUCAUGGCCUCAGAAAAGAUGAAAGAAAAAAACGAGACUGAAAUGAAAAGAAAAAACCAGCAUUUCUCCAAGCAGGGCUUUUAACCUAAGAGAUUAGACAAAGACAGAGUGGAGAUUAGAAUAAGAGCUCAGUGAGAGCUGGACAGAAUUAAGUGCAUAAUUUGAAGUCUUACUUUUUUUUAUAUAUAUCUAUACACAUUUUUUUCUACUCUACAUUGCUUAUUGGCAAUAAAAAUAUAAUUACUUUUCUAUAGGAAUGAUAAAGUAAAAUUGGAGGACAAAAUGAAUCUAGGACAGGUAGAAAGUAUAAAGCAAACAUAUAGUCUACAUGCAUAAAUACCUGUUCCUGUCACCGGAACGAAUGCCGACAGUGAAGUGGAAAUAUCCUUCACGACAGUGCUUGUAUUUAGUAUAAGUUCUUACUGUUUUUGCAGAGGCACCUCCUUAUACACUGACGCUGCUGUCACAGCUGUUGUUGAUCACUUCUGAAAGUGAACUGUGGACUUGACCCUGUAGACAGUACACUCAACACAAUAAAGUAUCAGAAAAGGAGGAAAGGCAAUAUCCAAACUUUAAAAAUUUUCUGCUUUAAUUAAAAUCCAACUUUGUAACAGAACAGAAAUUAUUUGAUUUCAUAAAAAUGGUUGACUAAACCAAAUAAGGUGCAAGGGUCAAAAAGUGACUUAUGAAAGUGUGACGCCUACAGCUUCAGUCCCGGGAUUGUUCCUACUACUGAUAAAAUGAGGAACCUACAUAGGCCAAGCUAAGCAAAUAUAAGCUUUGUAAGAUAUUAACUUUAGUUAUUUGUGUUAAUGCAGUGGGACAUAUAUCACUGGUCUCAAUUAAAUUUCUAGUUGUUUUCUUUUUUUUAUAUCCAUGACAUAAUAAAAUUAUGCCACGCUGCCAUUUCUUGAGAAAGACUUAUGCGAAUGUGUCCUUCUUAGCUUUAAAGUAACAAAUACUCUAUUAAUGAGAGUAAUAUUAUUCAUAAAUCUACUGUAUUUAGUUUGCUAUAAACAAGUCCUUCAGUUUUUGUAAUUAAAAACCAGUAACGAGUCAAGCUACACAUUAAAAAAAGAGCUCAUGCACCAGAGGGAAUGGACCUGAGGAAGAUUCUACUAAAAUGGUUUUUGAAGCACCACCAUUAAAGCAUUAAAUGAUUUGUUAGUUGUUACUGUUUUUCUACCCUUUGUUGCUUUCAACUGUCAUUCAAUUCUGUUUCUUGGCAAGACUUUCGAUUGUCUAAAUACUGAAAAGCUGACUCCUGUGCUAUGACAUCAUCUGUUAUAAAUUAGCAUAAUUUGCUAACUUCCAAGUGCCGAGGAUCUGAUGAGCACCUUCUUCAGUGAAUUGCAGCUUGCCAAAUCGUGGGCUGGGUAUCCUAAUGAAGAGGUUAAUUUAUGUAAAUCUGCUUGGCUAUUUUUGCAGCGUAGGUAUAUCCCUGGUUGUUAGCUCAAGAAUGAACUGAAACAGAAAAAAAUGAAAUCAGACAGAGGAAAAGGUAAGAGAGAGGCGGUGGAAGGAAUAGCCAGAGAAGUACCAGUAGAAAAAAAAAAAGUUUUCAGAGGAAUAAGUAAGGGACAAAAACGUAUAGAGUGGAUAUAUAUCCGAGUGUAUCAGAGAGGAUAAGAACAGCCUUUGGACUUACAUAUCUGUAACUUCCUACUUAUCUCAGUGUAUCUUAAGUUCAUAGUGGGAAUGUUCUAGCCUCUUAUUUGUUGAAUCUGCUCGUUUUGUUUCCUUAACUUGUACUCUAAGCUUAUCAAAAUAUGACUUAAACUUGAUAUGAUAGUCAUGAAAAAUGGAAUAAAGUGUAACUUUAUUAUGGUAUACUGAAAAAUAACUAGUGCAAUAUAAGGUAAGACUUUUGCUCCCUUCAUAGGGUCUGGGUUAUUAACACCCAUAUAAAAAUGGGUUGUUAUAGAGGUUAACUCAAAAUGUCUCCCAAGGUUUUGCUGCUCCUUUGCUUGAGGAAUGCUCAGCUUAGAGCAUACAUCCUUCUUUGUUAUCUCAGUAAAGAAAUGAGCCAACAAUGUCAGUGAGUCAGCAAGGCACAUAAAAUAGCUCUUGCUAAAUAAUAAUAAUAAAAAACGGCUGUUGUACUGCUAUAAUGUUGUUACAAAAAAUGUUGAAGGUGUUCUGAGUCUGACUUUUCCUUAUGUUUGCAGCUGAACUGUGUUCAGUUUUCCUAGCUAGUCUUGUUUAGGGUUUUUUGUUCUUGAUUUUUUUUUUUUUUUUUUGUUCUCUGGAUGUUAUAUCCAGAGUCUUUAAUAUUAAAUAUACCGAUAUGUCUUUACCUUUGCUGUCCACAUAUUGUUCCGUGUUUUUACCUGCCUAAGCAAUUAACACAGAUUAAAAGGCAAAAGAUCCUGCCAUAUUUAUUUCUGUGAAAUAUUGGUGGCUUUAUAACUCAGCAGUGGCGUGUUUUUUACACUGAAUCUAACACUGUUGGUCUACAGAAACAAUUCUGAAUAGGAAUUAUAUUUUAAAUAUCAGUUUGAGAUCCUCAUAGGUCAGAAUGCAGAUGAGUCCAAUGUAAAACUUGAUGAUUUCUGUUCUGGCUUAUAUGACAUCAGCUACACAUGUAAUGCUGAGCCCAUCUUCAUAAUGUUAUUCAUAAUGCUUAAAUGCAUUUUUGUGCAAGAAUAUAACAAUAAAUAAUU